Aptenodytes forsteri (emperor penguin) is the source of this 447-nucleotide long non-coding RNA. RefSeq lists it as uncharacterized. The record is from RefSeq and is a predicted model, not a curated record. Lineage: Eukaryota; Metazoa; Chordata; Aves; Sphenisciformes; Spheniscidae. The transcript is spliced from 5 exons.
UGUGCCAAAGAAGACUUUUGCUCAGAUGACAUCACAUUUGGACUACUAAUGCUAUCCGCCCACUCUACAAGGCACAAUGCAUUUCUAGGUAAUUUAACAAAUGCGGAGUGAAACCCAUUCUUUCAUUUGCAAAACUCUUCUGGAAAAUUACUUGGGUGCUGUAUAUUGAAUGUCAGUGAAACUAGGUAGUUUGUAUUGGGGGAAAAACUGAAGGAUCCACUGGCAAACACCAGAAUUUUAGAAAAUUCAGAAUUUAAUGCUUUUCUGCAGAAGAGGAUACUUGUAACUCCACAUUGUUCUUCAAAGCAACCAGGUUUCAUCCUUAAACCUCACACUUUAACAAGUCCUAAAGCGUAAAAGGCAAACGUACAAAUGUCUACCACAAGACUAAAGUGUGAUAUGUUAUGUUUUUUACCAUAAGCACCCAUAAAAUGAGCUCCAUUGCAG